GGGGAUUUAGCUCAGCUGGGAGAGCGCAUCGCUGGCAGCGAUGAGGUCAGGGGUUCGAUCCCCCUAAUCUCCACCA
Molecule: transfer RNA, 76 nt
Filed under: Cohnella zeiphila
Lineage: Bacteria; Bacillati; Bacillota; Bacilli; Caryophanales; Paenibacillaceae
Description: Cohnella sp. CBP 2801 tRNA-Ala
Rfam family: tRNA
About the family: Transfer RNA (tRNA) molecules are approximately 80 nucleotides in length.
Source: RNAcentral